RNAcentral lists this ribosomal RNA (514 nucleotides) under uncultured bacterium. Its description in RNAcentral is "bacterial SSU rRNA". It matches the Rfam family "Bacterial small subunit ribosomal RNA", at positions 15 to 518 of the family's 1533-position model. The record is from RNAcentral.
GAUUAUGGCUCAGGAUGAACGCUAGCUACAGGCUUAACACAUGCAAGUCGAGGGGCAUCAUUAUCGAAGCUUGCUUGAUAGAUGGCGACCGGCGCACGGGUGAGUAACGCGUAUCCAACCUUCCCCUUAGUAGAGGAUAGCCCGGCGAAAGUCGGAUUAAUACUCUAUGUUGUAUUUUGAGGACAUCUGACGAAUACCAAAGAUUUAUCGCUAAGGGAUGGGGAUGCGUCUGAUUAGCUUGUCGGCGGGGUAACGGCCCACCGAGGCGACGAUCAGUAGGGGUUCUGAGAGGAAGGUCCCCCACAUUGGUACUGAGACACGGACCAAACUCCUACGGGAGGCAGCAGUGAGGAAUAUUGGUCAAUGGGCGAGAGCCUGAACCAGCCAAGUAGCGUGCAAGGAUGACUGCCCUAUGGGUUGUAAACUGCUUUUAUGCGGGAAUAAAGUGAGGUACGUGUACCUUUUUGUAUGUACCGCAUGAAUAAGGACCGGCUAAUUCCGUGCCAGCAGCUGC